UACAACUUGUUGCAACAAGUUUGUUGAUAUUAUGAGACUUGUGGCAAAAUUGUUACAAGGUUGAUAACACAAGGUUGUAACAAUAUUGUUAUAUCAUGACUGUAUCAGGCUUCUUGGAACAACCUUGCUGCAAGUCUGAUAACAUCAACAAGCUUGUUACAAGGUUCUC
Paramuricea clavata is the source of this 169-nucleotide non-coding RNA. The record is from the annotation of a GenBank genome assembly. NCBI's taxonomy places the organism in Eukaryota, Metazoa, Cnidaria, Anthozoa, Malacalcyonacea, Plexauridae.